This 1168-nucleotide ribosomal RNA is filed under the name Massilia frigida. RNAcentral describes it as "partial 23S ribosomal RNA". It matches the Rfam family "Bacterial large subunit ribosomal RNA", at positions 1 to 1211 of the family's 2925-position model. The record is from RNAcentral. Lineage: Bacteria; Pseudomonadati; Pseudomonadota; Betaproteobacteria; Burkholderiales; Oxalobacteraceae.
GUUAUAGGGACAAGCGAAUAAGUGCACAUGGUGGAUGCCUUGGCGAUUACAGGCGACGAAGGACGUAGUAGCUUGCGAUAAGCUGCGGGGAGCUAGCAAACAAGCUUUGAUCCGCAGAUUUCCGAAUGGGGAAACCCGGCCUUUUAGGUCAUUGCAUACUGAAUACAUAGGUAUGCAAAGCGAACGCGGCGAACUGAAACAUCUAAGUAGCUGCAGGAAAAUAAAUCAACCGAGAUUCCCAAAGUAGUGGCGAGCGAAAUGGGAUGAGCCUGCACGUUUUAGCAUGACGGAUAGUAGAAACCACUGGAAAUUGGUGCCAUAGAGGGUGAUAGCCCCUUAUACGAAAUUCGAUGUGUGGAACUAAGCGUGCGACAAGUAGGGCGGGACACGAGAAAUCCUGUCUGAAUAUGGGGGGACCAUCCUCCAAGGCUAAAUACUCGUAAUCGACCGAUAGUGAACCAGUACCGUGAGGGAAAGGCGAAAAGAACCCCGGAAGGGGAGUGAAAUAGAUCCUGAAACCGUGUGCAUACAAACAGUAGGAGCGGACUUGUUCCGUGACUGCGUACCUUUUGUAUAAUGGGUCAGCGACUUACAUUCAGUGGCAAGGUUAACCGUAUAGGGAAGCCGUAGAGAAAUCGAGUCCGAAUAGGGCGACAGUCGCUGGGUGUAGACCCGAAACCAAGUGAUCUACUCAUGGCCAGGAUGAAGGUGCGGUAACACGCCCUGGAGGUCCGAACCCACUAAUGUUGAAAAAUUAGGGGAUGAGCUGUGGGUAGGGGUGAAAGGCUAAACAAACUUGGAAAUAGCUGGUUCUCUCCGAAAACUAUUUAGGUAGUGCCUCAAGUAUCACCAUCGGGGGUAGAGCACUGUUAUGGCUAGGGGUUCAUUGCGAAUUACCAAACCAUUGCAAACUCCGAAUACCGAUGAGUGCGAGCUUGGGAGACAGACGUCGGGUGCUAACGUCCGGCGUCAAGAGGGAAACAACCCAGACCGCCAGCUAAGGUCCCAAAGAUUGGCUAAGUGGAAAACGAAGUGGGAAGGCUAAAACAGUCAGGAUGUUGGCUUAGAAGCAGCCAUCAUUUAAAGAAAGCGUAAUAGCUCACUGAUCGAGUCGUCCUGCGCGGAAGAUGUAACGGGGCUAAGCCAGUCACCGAAGCUGCGGAUAUAU